RNAcentral lists this transfer RNA (74 nucleotides) under Chlorobiota bacterium. Its description in RNAcentral is "tRNA-Arg". It matches the Rfam family "tRNA". From Rfam's summary of the family: Transfer RNA (tRNA) molecules are approximately 80 nucleotides in length. Their secondary structure includes four short double-helical elements and three loops (D, anti-codon, and T loops). Lineage: Bacteria; Pseudomonadati; Chlorobiota. The record is from RNAcentral.
GCCCGCGUAGCUCAACUGGAUAGAGCAUCUGACUUCGGAUCAGAGGGUUGAGGGUUCGAGUCCUUCCGCGGGUA